This 492-nucleotide ribosomal RNA is filed under the name uncultured bacterium. Its description in RNAcentral is "partial 16S ribosomal RNA". It matches the Rfam family "Bacterial small subunit ribosomal RNA", at positions 29 to 507 of the family's 1533-position model. The record is from RNAcentral.
AGUGAACGCUGGCGGUAGGCCUAACACAUGCAAGUCGAACGGCAGCACAGUAAGAGCUUGCUCUUACGGGUGGCGAGUGGCGGACGAGUGAGGAAUACAUCGGAAUCUACUUUUUCGUGGGGGAUAACGUAGGGAAACUUACGCUAAUACCGCAUACGACCUACGGGUGAAAGCAGGGGAUCUUCGGACCUUGCGCGAUUGAAUGAGCCGAUGUCGGAUUAGCUAGUUGGCGGGGUAAAGGCCCACCAAGGCGACGAUCCGUAGCUGGUCUGAGAGGAUGAUCAGCCACACUGGGACUGAGACACGGUCCAGACUCCUACGGGGGGCAGCAGUGGGGAAUUUUGGACAAUGGGCGGAAGCCUGAUCCAGCCAUACCGCGUGGGUGAAGAAGGCCUUCGGGUUGUAAAGCCCUUUUGUUGGGAAAGAAAAGCAGCAGGGUAAUACCCCGCUGUUCUGACGGUACCCAAAGAAUAAGCACCGGCUAACUUCGUG